AACAUGGCUCUUUGAAAUGAAUAUAUAAAGAGUCGAGCCUGCCCGGUGAGUAAAAUUUAACGGCCGCAGUACUCUGACUGUGCAAAGGUAGCAUAAUCAUUUGCCCUAUAAUUGAGGGCUGGUAUGAAUGGUUUGACGAGAGCAAAGCUGUCUCUAUAAAAUUUAUUAGAAUUUGGUUUUUAGGUGAAGAAACCUAAAUAAAACUAAAAGACAAGAAGACCCUAUCGAGCUUUAAGUGAAUUUUUUAAGAAAUGUAAGCUAUAUCAAUUUUAAUUAAUAACUUUUGGUUGGGGCGACUAAGGAACAAUCAAAGCUUCUUUAUUAUAUUAUGACUUAUAGGUUUUGAUCCAAUAAAUUGAUUACAAGAAAUAGUUACCGUAGGGAUAACAGCAUAAUCUUUUUUAAGAGUUCUUAUCGAAAAAAAGGUUUGUGACCUCGAUGUUGGACUAGGAUAUCCUGAAAGGUGCAGAAGUCUUCAAGGGUUGGUCUGUUCGACCACUAAUAUCCUACGUGAU
RNAcentral lists this ribosomal RNA (515 nucleotides) under Assiminea hiradoensis. RNAcentral describes it as "partial 16S ribosomal RNA". It matches the Rfam family "Bacterial large subunit ribosomal RNA", at positions 1812 to 2604 of the family's 2925-position model. The record is from RNAcentral. Lineage: Eukaryota; Metazoa; Mollusca; Gastropoda; Littorinimorpha; Assimineidae.